Molecule: ribosomal RNA, 253 nt
Filed under: uncultured bacterium
Lineage: Bacteria
Description: partial 16S ribosomal RNA
Rfam family: Bacterial small subunit ribosomal RNA
Source: RNAcentral
UACGUAGGCAGCGAGCGUUGUUCGGAAUUAUUGGGCGUAAAGAGUGCGUAGGCGGUGCUCUAAGUCUGUCGUGAAAUCUCCCGGCUUAACUGGGAGGGUGCGGCGGAAACUGGAAUGCUAGAGUGUGGGAGAGGUAAGCGGAAUUCCAGGUGUAGCGGUGAAAUGCGUAGAUAUCUGGAGGAACACCGGUGGCGAAGGCGGCAUCCUGGACCAAUACUGACACUGAGGAGCGAAAGCCAGGGGAGCAAACGGG